UGAUCGCUGCAGGGCCAGCCUCGGAGCUGUGCGGCGCGGCCGGUGUGGAUUACACAAUCGGUUAACAUGGGCACCGAAAGGAAACUGGCUUUGCUUCUCGGCGCUUCAAGGCUAUUCGCAGCGCUUCCGCGGGCGUGGGUGUUAGUGCCACCAGGCCUUCCUGCAGCAACAGUGUUUAUGUCAUCUUUCCUCCCGACAAUCUCAAAGUAAUGGGAAUAUUUCCAGCCGCUAAAAUGCUGUUGUCUUGGAGGAGCUGCUAACUAUGGUGGUGGUUGUGAAAGCACAAACGACCCCAUCUGGAGCCAGUGUUUGGUUUAUCUGUUCUGAGCUACUGUAGACCUGAAGGUGCAACAUGGUGAUCACUGUGGAUGAGGACCAGCUCCAUACGUGGAUAUAACAGCUCAUUCUAAGUGGUGUCCACACUGCUGGAAAUAACAGAUGAUUUCUGAGGCGUGUCAUCAGAGUGAGCAGGAUGUCCUGAAGAUGGAACUCCCCAGAGAAUGGACGGGUUAGGUCAAGACAGGCCUCGUCUGCCUCCGCUGUCAGACUGCCAAGGCCAAAGUCUCUGGGUGGAGAGAAUGUCACUGUUAAAGGUUCUAACUUAAAUUGAUGCUGCUGCAGUUCCUACUGGUGACCGAGAGCGUUCAAUAGAUGUGAUAGAUGACUUAUUGCCUCCUGAAGCUACUCUUGUGCAAUUGGACAGUGACUCUCGGAAGAUGGAAGGUUACAGCUGCUGUGUCCCUCGGAGCGUCCCAAUGACAUCAGGCAGCUCUACUGGAACAAUUUGGAUUAUGAGCCUCAAGGGCAGUGCUGCUAUCGUUUCUUCCACUUAAAGGAACAGUUCAACAUUUUGGGAAAUGCAAUAAUUUUCUGUCUUUAGCUUAGCUGGAAAUGGGGAAUCAGCUAGAUCUGGUGAAAUGUUAAAAAAAAAAAACCUGUCUACCUGCACUUUAUAGCUUGCAGUGUUUUGCCUAUAAUUGCAUCGGCCUAGCAGGAAAAAAACUGCAUUUUGUUGUCAUUUAAACAUGCGUGAAACAAGAUGACACGAGACGACGUGUCGGCCGUCUCUUUAUUAUGCCACUUUUUCUUGUGCUUUUUUAUUUCUUUUUUC
This is a long non-coding RNA of Epinephelus lanceolatus (giant grouper), 1111 nucleotides long. RefSeq lists it as uncharacterized. The record is from RefSeq and is a predicted model, not a curated record. Lineage: Eukaryota; Metazoa; Chordata; Actinopteri; Perciformes; Serranidae.